UGUCAGACCUGUCGGAGUAAGGACACUUGGGAUUGAAGAUUGAUCUUGAGUUAACCUAAUUAGGAGUAGGCUAACUUGGGAGCAAUCUUCCCUCCUGAGUGUCCUUACUCUAGCAGGUCUGGCA
Molecule: microRNA precursor, 124 nt
Filed under: Picea abies (Norway spruce)
Lineage: Eukaryota; Viridiplantae; Streptophyta; Pinopsida; Pinales; Pinaceae
Description: miR11470 stem-loop (pab-MIR11470)
Source: miRBase by way of RNAcentral